CCCUUGGUGGCACAAAAGGUAAAGCAUUUGGCUAUUAGCCAAAAAGUUGGUGAUUUGAACCCACCCAAAGGCA
RNAcentral lists this transfer RNA (73 nucleotides) under Loxodonta africana (African savanna elephant). It matches the Rfam family "tRNA". Rfam says of the family: Transfer RNA (tRNA) molecules are approximately 80 nucleotides in length. Lineage: Eukaryota; Metazoa; Chordata; Mammalia; Proboscidea; Elephantidae. The record is from Rfam by way of RNAcentral.